GUGUGAUGGACCAGGAUGAACCAAAACGAAUAGCUAUGGCCAAAACAUAUUUUUUUCAAACGUUUGUGAUGAACAUUUACUUUUUUGACUAGAUGUAUCAAUUUUGCCCAAGUAGGUAGGCUCUUUUACCUGAGGAUUGUGACAGAGUCCAGCCUCAAAAAUGUUGUUUUUAAAUAAAAACAUAAUGGCUAAUUUCCAAAGUCAUUAAUUGUAUGUAGUGAGUGCAGCUGUUAUCCAGAUUCUCCACGUGUAGAAGUGGGUUAGAACAUCUACAGCGCAGCCCUACAAGUUGCAUAUGGCAAUGAUAAUGGAACCUCCUGCCCUCCUGCCUGCGGGUAUAACUGGGCCACCCUGCCUACCACUGGUCCUCCAGGUUGGGGAGACUUGGAAGCAAAGGCUGAGGCCCACAAGCUCUGUACAAUAUUAUUGUUACAGAAUCCAAAAAAACAAAAAACCGGAUCAAAUAUGGCACAAUCGCCUAAGGAAGGCUGUGGCUGAAAAAGUGGUUUUGCUAAUAAUGAUGAUGAUGGUAUCUCCCUUCGCGUGUUACGGAAGCAGUGGUGAGCCUAGGAAUUGUGGAUAAUGGCUGCUGCUGGCGGGGACACCCAUAACGCUAAUAACGUCGUCACUUCACUACAUCUUCGAAUUUUCUAUAGAAUUAUUAAUGAUGGCAAAUGUUAGAACCUUAAACCUUGCCGUCUAAAAAAACUCACUUCACUUAUAUUUCAGUCCGUAAGAUACCAGUUUCUAAUUUUCUUCUUGUUGGUAUUCUGCAAGUUGAUCAUUAUUCGUAAUGGUUAAUGAUCGCUCAUAUAACACGGUUUAACUCCAACUUGAUUUCGCGUUUUUUGGAAAGGCUUCAAUCGCUUCAAUUAUUCAACAGUUUCAUUACAUGUAAUACCAUAAAUCAAUUAGUAAUCUCACGCAGAGUUAACUGUGUUCCGCCGGUCGAUAUAAUCCGUGUGCUACAAUCAGCUGUUCGUGUCAGGAACAAAAUGUCGGCUUUCGGGUGAUUAGUUGGAUCACUUGCAAACAGUGGGUAGCAACUGGUAGCAACUGUCGCGAAGUGGGAUGCCCAGUUUUUGGUUGGGCCUACGAUCGUUACUUUCUAAUUAUAUUUUGUAAGUAGGGUGAGAUGUUGAAAUUUUUGAUAACUUUUGGAACAGGGGUGUAUGUUGGGGUCUAUCUGAGUCAAAAUUAUGAGAUUCCCAGAGUUGAUGAACCAGCUGAGCUUUUGGAAAGGAUAAAGAAGUUUGUAGAUGAACACAAAAAGAAUAAAUAGUUAAAACAGGAACCUAAGUCUGUAUAUGAAUAACAGGUCAGUGAAUUGCAACAAUGAUGUGAAUCACACUUAUUUUCAUGGAACAUAAAGAAGCCAUACAUUACUUGCCAUAAACAUUUUAACUGCUGCAGCAAAAAUUUAAGACUUGUAUUGUUUUUAUAGAUAUAUAUAUAUAUGUAUAUGUAUUACUGCCUGUAGGUGUACAUUGUGAGGUUAGUACAAUAAACCCUUUUGCUGCAUCACACAAAACAGACUGGUUACCAUUUCAUAGAAUAUCUUUAUAACCAUUACAUGUAUCACCCCUUGUGAAUCAUCAUCAGCUGGCAUAAGUACAUUUAUCACAACAUGAAAUCAACCUAAGUUGCAAAGUAACAAUACAACAAAAUCAGUUUCCAUCAAGGUCAGAGUCAGUAAAUGAGAAGGGCUAAUUUCAUGUUUAAUAAUAUUAAAUAUUAAUAUUAAAAAUAAGUGAUAUACAGUAAACCCCUUGCUGAUCUAGUGUAAGUGAGGGGAGAGGUCAUCCAGAUUAAGCGAUAAUCCAUAUUAGUGAAGUAAAAGGUAGCCCUAAAGAAAAAAACUUAGAACUCAAAUACAUGGGAAAUUUAAUGAUAUAAGAAGUGCUGAUGAAAAAAAAAUAAAUAAAUAUAUCACUGUAGAGCCUUUACUUAGAAACUACAAGACAAUAUAUUUAUUCAUUGAUAAAGACUAAGAAGUUGUGCUUGAUUUUUAAUGUAAUACAGGUUUGAAUUGUCUGAACAGACAACUGACUCAUCUGCCUCCUAAAUGUCUUUUGUCUUUUAAAGUAUGUAACUCAACUGUGAACAGCAUUUUUCAUAUUUCAUAUUUGUGAUCCAGAUUAACUGUAACCGGACUAGUGACAGGUUACUGUACUUAGUUGUUCCAUUUAGUUUUUGGUCAUAGUGAUUGCACAUUUGUAGUCGCUAUAUAGUCUGUAGGCACCAAAUUGGACACACAGUCAAACCCUGACAAAGUGCCUCCCUCACUUUGUGCCCAUCAAGGUCUAUGAACAGAAAUUCCCUAUUAUAUUAUCCCUGGGAAACCCUUGGUAUAGCAUCAGCCCCUCUAGCAGGCAUUUGCCAAAGACUUCAGUGGUACAAAUAUAGCAUGUUACUACUUUCACACUUUGCAUGUGCUAGAGCUAAAUUUCUUGAUUAGAUUUUUAUUAGGGUGUAAGUAAGAAUUUAAGUCUAUGAAAGUGGGCAAGGGAAGGUCGGGUGUUAUGAUAUUUCCUCUUGUUGUCCCUGGGUAUGGAAAUCCAAGCUUGAACUUGGAUCUCCAAAAACAUAAACAUUUUAAGGAACAAUUAAGUAAUGCUGACCUCAGCUUAAUUGGUACUGUACCUUCUAAAAGAAGACUUUUAAAAUGUGCUGUAUAAAGACAAGGUAUAAUAACCUCUGAAUAUUGUUAGAAGCAGCUUUUAUGAAAUAUACUAAUGCUCUUUUACUUUUCACCAUCUGAAAAAAAUGCAACGGUAAUGAGAAUACAGAAUUAUAAAAGGGUUUCACGACUGUUACGAUGCUUCAGAGCAUUUCAGAAAACAGUUUUCUUUUCUAAUCCUUCAGGAAAAUUAACUGAGGAGGAGAACAUUUACUCUACUUGUCUAAGCAUCGCAACUCAGGUCAGACAUGAACUCUGGACUCUGUCUUUCUUUUGAGAUUAUGGAAAAUUCAUUUACUGUUAGUUACUAUAGAAGACAGUCUGUACAAUUUCACAACCAAGGCAGCACUGCAGCUGUUUUAAGUCGUCUUCAGAUGACUGUAACACCGCAGUACAGUUUCUAAUUAUCCUUUUAGGGAAGUGAAGUAUGGGGAAAAGGAAAGCAUUGAGUGUUAGUGAACAGAAAAAUGUCUGUGCUUAUUUACAGACUCAUUUUCUGCAGCCUUUCAGCACAAUACUAAACCAUUUUUCCAUGUUAUGGGACAAACCCAUCAGUUGACACCAUAUUAGCAAUAGGCUUAGUGGGAAAAUCUGGCAAGUGAUAA
This is a long non-coding RNA of Cryptotermes secundus, 3285 nucleotides long. RefSeq lists it as uncharacterized. NCBI's taxonomy places the organism in Eukaryota, Metazoa, Arthropoda, Insecta, Blattodea, Kalotermitidae. The transcript has 4 exons. The record is from RefSeq and is a predicted model, not a curated record.